GAUGAACGCUGGCGGCGUGCCUAACACAUGCAAGUCGAACGAAGCAAUUAAGAUGAAGUUUUCGGAUGGAAUCUUGAUUGACUGAGUGGCGGACGGGUGAGUAACGCGUGGAUAACCUGCCUCACACUGGGGGAUAACAGUUAGAAAUGACUGCUAAUACCGCAUAAGCGCACAGUGCCGCAUGGCAGUGUGUGAAAAACUCCGGUGGUGUGAGAUGGAUCCGCGUCUGAUUAGCCAGUUGGC
RNAcentral lists this ribosomal RNA (243 nucleotides) under uncultured bacterium. Its description in RNAcentral is "partial 16S ribosomal RNA". It matches the Rfam family "Bacterial small subunit ribosomal RNA", at positions 28 to 253 of the family's 1533-position model. The record is from RNAcentral.